GGAGGAAAAGAACACAACAGGGAUUGCCUCAGUAACGGCGAGCGAAGUGGCAAAAGCUCAGAUUUGAAAGCAGGUACUGUUGGUACUUGCAUUGUAAUCUGUAGAGGGGUGUUCGGGUAUGGCUUAGGCCCAAGUUCCUUGGAACAGGACAUCAUUGAGGGUGAGAAUCCCGUGAAUGGUCUUUGUCCUAUGCUCAUGUGAACCCCCUUCAAUGAGUCGAGUUGUUUGGGAAUGCAGCUCUAAAUGGGUGGUAUAUUUCAUCUAAAGCUAAAUAUUGGCAGGAGACCGAUAGCGUACAAGUAGAGUGAUCGAAAGAUGAAAAGAACUUUGGAAAGAGAGUUAAAUAGUACGUGAAAUUGUUGAAAGGGAAGCACUUGUGCCCAGACUUGCCUGCAGCUGAUCAACUGUCAUUUUUUGGCAGUGCACUUGGUUGUGGGCAGGCCAGCAUCAGUCAGGAUGGUAGGAAAAAGGUGCAGGGAAUGUAGCUCUUUCGAGAGUGUUAUAGCCCUGUAUGUAAUGCUGUCAGUACCUGACUGAGGACUACGCUUUAGCAAGGAUGCUGGCUUAAUGGGUAUAAGUGACCCGUCUUGAAACACGGACCAAGGAGUCUAACAGCUGUGCAAGUGUUUGGGUGACAAACUCUUACGCACAAUGAAAGUGAAUGGAGGUGGGAACUGCAAGGUGCACCAUCGACCGAUCCUGAUGUCUUCGGAUGGAUUUGAGUAGGAGCAUAGCUGUUGGGACCCGAAAGAGGUGAACUAUGCCUGAAUAGGG
This 774-nucleotide ribosomal RNA is filed under the name Ahmadea dalanensis. RNAcentral's name for it is "partial large subunit ribosomal RNA". It matches the Rfam family "Eukaryotic large subunit ribosomal RNA", at positions 52 to 846 of the family's 3401-position model. The record is from RNAcentral. Lineage: Eukaryota; Fungi; Ascomycota; Pezizomycetes; Pezizales; Pezizaceae.